This 245-nucleotide long non-coding RNA is filed under the name Panax ginseng (ginseng). RNAcentral's name for it is "long non-coding RNA (PGIN_LNC006782)". Lineage: Eukaryota; Viridiplantae; Streptophyta; Magnoliopsida; Apiales; Araliaceae. The record is from RNAcentral.
GUUGCUAGCGCAUCCGCAAAAUCAUUCUUAUUUUCAGGAAUGUGGAGGAAGGAUUUUUCUUCGAACUCUGAAGCCAUUUGUAGAACCUGCCGAUGUUAAGGCAGCAACUGUUGAACCUGUUGAAGAGCUUUUUUUCUUUUUCUUUUUUUUUUCUUUUUUUUUCUUUUUUUUUUCUUUUUUCUUUUUUUUUCUAUUAGAUCAUGGAAAAGAGCCAUAUGGUUCACUGAUAGGUAGCUCCGGCAUUG